Molecule: ribosomal RNA, 510 nt
Filed under: uncultured bacterium
Lineage: Bacteria
Description: bacterial SSU rRNA
Rfam family: Bacterial small subunit ribosomal RNA
Source: RNAcentral
AUGGCUCAGGAUGAACGCUAGCUACAGGCUUAACACAUGCAAGUCGAGGGGCAGCAUGUGGUUGCUGCAACCAAUGAUGGCGACCGGCGCACGGGUGAGUAACGCGUAUCCAACCUUCCCUAUAGUAGAGGAUAGCCCGGCGAAAGUCGGAUUAAUACUCUAUGUUUUCCAAUGCAGACAUCUAAAAUGGAACAAAGGUUUACCGCUAUAGGAUGGGGGAUGCGUCUGAUUAGAUGGUAGGCGGGGUAAUGGCCCACCUAGUCGACGAUCAGUAGGGGUUCUGAGAGGAAGGUCCCCCACAUUGGAACUGAGACACGGUCCAAACUCCUACGGGAGGCAGCAGUGAGGAAUAUUGGUCAAUGGGCGAGAGCCUGAACCAGCCAAGUAGCCGUGCAGGAUGACGGCCCUAUGGGUUGUAAACUGCUUUUAUACAGGGAUAAAGUGACGUACGUGUACGUUAUUGUAGGUACUGUAUGAAUAAGGACCGGCUAAUUCCGUGCCAGCCGCCGC